Molecule: ribosomal RNA, 327 nt
Filed under: uncultured bacterium
Lineage: Bacteria
Description: partial 16S ribosomal RNA
Rfam family: Bacterial small subunit ribosomal RNA
Source: RNAcentral
UGGGGAAUAUUGCACAAUGGGCGAAAGCCUGAUGCAGCAACGCCGCGUGAGUGAUGAAGGUCUUCGGAUUGUAAAGCUCUGUCUUUUGGGACGAUAAUGACGGUACCAAAGGAGGAAGCCACGGCUAACUACGUGCCAGCAGCCGCGGUAAUACGUAGGUGGCGAGCGUUGUCCGGAUUUACUGGGCGUAAAGGGUGCGUAGGCGGAUGUUUAAGUGAGAUGUGAAAUACCCGGGCUUAACUUGGGUGCUGCAUUUCAAACUGGAUAUCUAGAGUGCAGGAGAGGAGAAUGGAAUUCCUAGUGUAGCGGUGAAAUUGCGUAGAGAUU